RNAcentral lists this ribosomal RNA (364 nucleotides) under uncultured bacterium. RNAcentral's name for it is "bacterial SSU rRNA". It matches the Rfam family "Bacterial small subunit ribosomal RNA", at positions 28 to 384 of the family's 1533-position model. The record is from RNAcentral.
GACGAACGCUGGCGGCGUGCUUAAUACAUGCAAGUCGAGCGAGGUCCAUCUGGUGGCAACACCAGUGAAGGCCGAGCGGCGAACGGGUGAGUAACACGUGAGCAACCUGCCCCGAAGUCUGGAAUAACAUCGGGAAACCGGUGCUAAUACCGGAUCGCCCCACCUGACCGCAUGAUCGGGUGAGGAAAGAUUUAUCGCUUCGGGAGGGGCUCGCGGCCUAUCAGCUAGUUGGUGGGGUAACGGCCUACCAAGGCAUCGACGGGUAGCUGGUCUGAGAGGACGACCAGCCACACUGGGACUGAGACACGGCCCAGACUCCUACGGGAGGCAGCAGUAGGGAAUCUUGCGCAAUGGGCGAAAGCCU